AAGAGGUUGAGUUUCCUCAUCAUUAUUUUGUCUUGUGUAGGUUGUUUUGUUAGCUUCGAAGCUUUUUCUGGUGCGCGGUGCAGGACUAAACCGGCUCUGAUGUGGGUUGCUACUUCUUCCAUCGAUGUUGGUAAGGCGACUUUUAGGUGGAUUUUUGAUGGUAUAGCGUAUUCGGCUUUCGGUUCAGUUCCUCAGUUCUUUUGUGUUAAAGGUUAACCAAACGACGAUCUAUGUUGGUUUAGAUAUGGAAUGCGAAUUUGAUUUGGGUUUGUGUGUCAUAAGGCAGUGUUGGUUGUGGCUGUUUAGUUUCUCCGGCUUGGAUGUUUAGGCCGUGGGAUUUGGCUUCGUCUCAUGUCCUCUAUAGUGUUAAGUCGCUUACCAUGCCUGUCUUCGGUAAGGUCUCGUCGCUCGACCUGUGGUUCUAUUGUUGAUAUGUUUAGUGUGAGGCUGCGAUGCUGUGAAGUGGUGCUUUCCCUUGGUUUUAAACCGACGGGUUCUCCAAAUUUCUUGGUAAG
Molecule: long non-coding RNA, 515 nt
Filed under: Brassica napus (rape)
Lineage: Eukaryota; Viridiplantae; Streptophyta; Magnoliopsida; Brassicales; Brassicaceae
Description: long non-coding RNA (BNAP_LNC008840)
Source: RNAcentral